RNAcentral lists this ribosomal RNA (405 nucleotides) under uncultured bacterium. Its description in RNAcentral is "bacterial SSU rRNA". It matches the Rfam family "Bacterial small subunit ribosomal RNA", at positions 370 to 772 of the family's 1533-position model. The record is from RNAcentral.
AAUGGGCGUAAGCCUGAACCAGCCAUCCCGCGUGCAGGAAGAAGGCGCUAUGCGUUGUAAACUGCUUUUCCAGGGGAAGAAAACCUGAUACGUGUAUCGGCUUGCCGGUACCCUGGGAAUAAGCAUCGGCUAACUCCGUGCCAGCAGCCGCGGUAAUACGGAGGAUGCAAGCGUUAUCCGGAUUUAUUGGGUUUAAAGGGUGCGUAGGCGGAUUAAUAAGUCAGUGGUGAAAACCUGCAGCUUAACUGUAGAACUGCCAUUGAUACUGUUAGUCUUGAGUACGGUCAAGGUAGGCGGAAUGUGUAAUGUAGCGGUGAAAUGCUUAGAUAUUACACAGAACACCGAUUGCGAAGGCAGCUUACUGGGCCAUUACUGACGCUGAUGCACGAAAGCGUGGGGAGCGAA